Molecule: long non-coding RNA, 2474 nt
Filed under: Mizuhopecten yessoensis (Yesso scallop)
Lineage: Eukaryota; Metazoa; Mollusca; Bivalvia; Pectinida; Pectinidae
Description: uncharacterized LOC110464030
Source: RNAcentral
UUCUGAUCGUCAAUACAAUACCUAGAGAAACGAUAAAGAGCCCCGUGUGACAUCACCACCAUCUUAUUAGUUUAUAAAUCUGGCCCUCACAGUGGGUUGGUCUCUAUAAGGUGUACCUUUCUGAUCGUCAAUACAAUACCUAGAGAAACGAUAAAGAGCCCCGUGUGACAUCACCACCAUCUUAUUAGUUUAUAAAUCUGGCCCUCACAGUGGGUUGGUCUCUAUAAGGAAUACCUUUCUGAUCGUCAAUACAAUACUUAGAGAAACGAUAAAGAGUCCCGUGUGACAUCACCUCCAUCUUAUUAGUCUAUAAAUCUGGCCCUCACAGUGGGUUGGUCUCUAUAAGGUAUACCUUUCUGAUCGUCAAUACAAUACUUAGAGAAACGAUAAAGAGUCCCAUGUGACAUCACCACCAUCUUAUUAGUCUAUAAAUCUGGCCCUCUCAGUGGGACGGUCUCUAUAAGGUGAACCUUUCUGAUCGUCUAGUAAACAUCACUUUUGACGUGCAGAAAUUGAAUGCUAGUCUUUUCGGGACUGAAACAAGUCGUUUCGGGACAUAUACAAUUUUUAACGUUUCGCUCCCGUUUCAUAAAAAGUCAUGUAAAUACACAAGUAUGGUUUUAGUCUAUGACCUGUAUCACGACCUACACGUGCUUGGGAUCAUUAUAGUGUUAACAGAUUGCUAGUGCUUGAGGGGAUACCUACCAACAUUUACCAGAUUGACACUGUGUUGUUACCUGAUGAAACAAAUAUCAUCAUUAAAUACAGAUCUAGAGGAACUUGUGAUAUUCAACAUCAAUUUCUUUCAUUACUGAUAGGUUAAUUCCUUGUUUGAUAUUGUAGUAAUGUUUUCAAUUCACUUUAUUCUCCGUUAUUGUUAUUGACAUUAAGAGACGAAUGAAUUAACAUUGAUUCUAACAAUGUUUCAAGCAUUUUAUUUUUGCUAUAUUGAAAUCAAAUUUCAUGAAAGUAAAAAACGUGAAACCCGCAGAAUGUAUUUUAGACAUGUGAAUCAAUUCAUCAAAUCCAGCAAUAUAUAGUUUGAAUGAUGUUUUUAUGUUGUGUAUUUGUGUCUGUGUGAAAUUAUAUAUAUUUAUUCAUGUGUUAUUAAAAUCAUGUAAUGGUAAAUGUUAGAAGGGAGAAGGCCAUGAUAAGUUGUAAUAAUUUUUAUCCAAUCGAUUGUCUAGAUUUAGUUGACCUUAAAAUUCAUUUAAAGAAAAAAGACAAACGACCCGAAAAAACCUGAAAUUGGGUCGACUUUGGGAGGCAUGGGCCUGUGAUUUCAUAUACUGACUGUCGAUAGGCGUCAGUUUUUAUGGCUUUAUUGACAAACUGAAACUUUUUCUCUGGCCUUCCAUGUUAUAACAAAGAUCAAGCAAUUAAUUUUUAAUUUUCCUGUUGCAUAUUUGAAGCUUGGUAAUUAGCAUUUUUCUCUCUUUUGUAUAGAAAUGACUUUCACUGCACGUAAUGUAUGAACGAAACCUGUAGUGUUGGCAUAAAAUCACAUUGAAGUUAAGGUAACAAGAAACGCAAAUAUAUAAUCUUCGGAUUUAAGGUCCAAAAUAUAAUCACAACAAAAAUAGAGGUUUGAUAUUUUUUAUUUAUUAAUAAACUCAGCCAGGAAACACACAUGAAGGGCAUAUACCGUGAGUAGAAAACUACAGCUGGUCCACAAGGACAUAAUUUAUAUAACGAUUUCAUAAUACAUAAAAUACAAGCAACAGACAAACUCCUGCUACUUGAUUUCAGCUAGUCACAAAUGUACAUGUAUACCAUUAACAAAUUACUCUAUUUGAAUCUUUCAAACAAUGGCAGAGGAUCAUAUGAAUGUAACUUCUAUUAAGUCCUUGUGUUACCAAAGCCAGACAGACUGUAGAUUUGUUCUGUCAAAUUUUAAUACAGUGCAUGUUCUCGAGCUAUUGUAAAGAAUACAAACCUGGUUAAAUUUGUCUUUAAUGGAAAACAAACUUCGAACACAGAUAAUCAAUAUUUGAACUAUUUGUGUGAUAAGAAGGGACUCUGCCUUGUAACAAACUACAAUUAGUUGACUGAUCGGAAAAUAAUAAUCACAAAGGGUUAACAUCUUGUACAAUAGGUUUUUAAUUUGAAAUUUGAGUGGGGUGGAGGUGGAACACCAGGCGACAGGUGCUAUUGGGAUUAAGGUAGACACUGCUCAGUAAUUGAUCUGUGAUUCUAUCAGAAGGGCAACUAAUUUGGGGGUUAUUAUUUUUAACACUUGAUUAUAAUAAUGUCAAGAUAAAGUUAAGCACCAUUUAAGCAUUACACUGUUUCCAGAUGCAGUUCAUAGGCAAUAUAAACGCCCACUGCAUUACAGGACAAGGACUUAAACCGCUUUUAUAUAACUUCUCAUUUGGUCCAAAGUCUGAUGACCCGAAAUAAAGUUUACUUGGGUUUACAUAUUGACAUUGCAGCUCAAAUUUAAACAGUCAUGCCAUACAAACAAGACAAUGUCA